RNAcentral lists this small RNA (109 nucleotides) under Marmota monax (woodchuck). Lineage: Eukaryota; Metazoa; Chordata; Mammalia; Rodentia; Sciuridae. The record is from RNAcentral.
GUUGAGUGUGUACCUGUAGUCCCACCUACUCAGGAGGCUGAGGCAGGAGGAUCACUUGAGUCAAGGAGUUCAAGGCCAGUCUGGGCAACAUAGUGAGACCCUAUCUCCU